Oncorhynchus keta (chum salmon) is the source of this 156-nucleotide long non-coding RNA. RefSeq lists it as uncharacterized. Lineage: Eukaryota; Metazoa; Chordata; Actinopteri; Salmoniformes; Salmonidae. The record is from RefSeq and is a predicted model, not a curated record. The transcript has 3 exons.
UGUUACAGCGCCAGGGCAGAGGGACACGCUGCAGGUCUGUCUAUAGACUGGUGUUACAGGGCAGAGGGACACGCUGCAGGUCUGUCUACAGACUGGUGUUACAGUGCCAGGGCAGAGGGACCACGCUGCAGGUCUGUCUAUAGACUGGUGUUACAG